UAGGGAAUCUUUGGCAAUGGACGGAAGUCUGACCGAGCAACGCCGCGCGAGUGAAGAAGGUUUUCGUAUCGUAAAGCUCUGUUGUUAGAGAAGAACGUUGGUAGGAGUGGAAAAUCUACCAAGUGACGGUAACUAACCAGAAAGGGACGGCUAACUACGUGCCAGCAGCCGCGGUAAUACGUAGGUCCCGAGCGUUGUCCGGAUUUAUUGGGCGUAAAGCGUGCGCAGGCGGUUAUUUAAGUCUGAAGUUAAAGGCAGUGGCUUAACCAUUGGAAGAUUUAGAAACUGGAGUACUUGAGUGCAGAAGGGAAGAGUGGAAUUCCAUGUGUAGCGGUGAAAUGCGUAGAUAUAUGGAGGAACACCGGUGGCGAAAGCGGCUCUCUGGUCUGUAACUGACGCUGAGGCUCGAAAGCGUGGGGAGCAAACAGG
This 429-nucleotide ribosomal RNA is filed under the name Bacillota bacterium. RNAcentral describes it as "Firmicutes bacterium partial 16S ribosomal RNA". It matches the Rfam family "Bacterial small subunit ribosomal RNA", at positions 355 to 776 of the family's 1533-position model. Lineage: Bacteria; Bacillati; Bacillota. The record is from RNAcentral.